This 236-nucleotide long non-coding RNA is filed under the name Eucalyptus grandis. RNAcentral describes it as "long non-coding RNA (EGRA_LNC003711)". The record is from RNAcentral. Lineage: Eukaryota; Viridiplantae; Streptophyta; Magnoliopsida; Myrtales; Myrtaceae.
UUUUGCAGGGGGGAGCGGGUCGUCGGGUCGGGCGUGUGACCCGGCGCUCUAGGUUUUCGCAAGGCCAACUUCUCCACGGGCCGGGCAUCCCCUUUUUUUUAAUAGGCCCAAUUCCGUGUGUGUGGGCUGAGUUUUUAAGAAAAAGAAAAAAAAUCUGAGUCGGGCCCGCGUUGCGGGCCCGUCCGCGUCUUGGGUCGUCGACCCGGGUCGGACCCAACCACGCGGAUCCGACCCGG